AGCAGGUAUAUGUACACGGUAUGCUGGUGAUCCGACAAAGAAGCGCGGUAUCAAAGAGUGACAUCGGUGGAUGGGAUGAGGAAAGAAGGAAGCGCGAGGAGAGGAGGAGGAGGGAAGCAGAAAGAAAGAGAGAGAGAGAGAGGAAUAGGAGUUGUUGGAGGAUAAAGACCACGUGCUCAGCCACGUGGUGACCGAGCCCCACCCUUCGACUGCUCGCACCCUCUCAACUCACCCCCACGAGCCCCUCUCACGGCCACCCACCACUCCACCUCUGUCAGAGGAGACUCGCGCGCGUAAAGCCGCGCCGACGCCAGCUGACCACGCAGUGGACCAUCCGCGUACCGACGCCAAUAAAAUCUCUGCGUUACUCUCCCGCCUCACUCCCACCCCCUCGACAACCUGCCACGCCACACGCCCGCUUGGAAAGCCUUUCUUCCUUUUCCUUGUUUUUGCCGCUGCUCUCGCCACGUGGGCAGGCCAGUUGGCCGGCCGGCCACACGACACGUGACUACUAGCCCGUGCCACCCCAUCAGCUGACCGCUAUCUACCUGUUUGCCCGACUUCUUCUCUCUUCCUCCUUCUUCUUUUUCUUUCUUUUUCUUCUUUUUUUUCUUUUUUUAUUUUGUCGUUUUUCUUUCUUUUCUGUCUUCCGGCUAUUACCACCGAUCGAAAGGGAAUGAUUAUCGUUGGGAUUUGGUGCAGUGAUGAGGAUGUGAGAGUAGAAUUUUUUUUUUUUUAAAGUAAAGAGACGAUGAGUGUGUCAAUAGAUUAAUUGUGCUGUGCGAAAUAGGAAUAGAGGGUGUACUUGUCACACGGAGCUAACAGAUUAACGUUAUACGUUAUAUGAAGAAAUGGAAUGAGUUUUUAUAUUACGAUAAGUGAUUAAUUGAUUAAAAAUUUUCUGUUUAUAUACUUGCUAUUAUAUCAUUUCUUGUAUAAGAUUUUUCUAAUGACAUAUAUGAUGAAAUAUAAUUAUAAAAUAAUACAAACAUAA
Apis cerana (Asiatic honeybee) is the source of this 994-nucleotide long non-coding RNA. RefSeq lists it as uncharacterized. Lineage: Eukaryota; Metazoa; Arthropoda; Insecta; Hymenoptera; Apidae. The record is from RefSeq and is a predicted model, not a curated record.